This 887-nucleotide ribosomal RNA is filed under the name Apiospora marii. Its description in RNAcentral is "eukaryotic LSU rRNA". It matches the Rfam family "Eukaryotic large subunit ribosomal RNA", at positions 1 to 912 of the family's 3401-position model. Lineage: Eukaryota; Fungi; Ascomycota; Sordariomycetes; Amphisphaeriales; Apiosporaceae. The record is from RNAcentral.
GUUGACCUCGGAUCAGGUAGGAAUACCCGCUGAACUUAAGCAUAUCAAUAAGCGGAGGAAAAGAAACCAACAGGGAUUCCCCUAGUAACGGCGAGUGAAGCGGGAACAGCUCAAAUUUGAAAUCUGGCCCUUGGGUCCGAGUUGUAAUUUGCAGAGGAUGCUUUUGGUGCGGUGCCUUCCGAGUUCCCUGGAACGGGACGCCUUAGAGGGUGAGAGCCCCGUACGGUUGGACACCAAGCCUAUGUAAAGCUCCUUCGACGAGUCGAGUAGUUUGGGAAUGCUGCUCAAAAUGGGAGGUAUAUUUCUUCUAAAGCUAAAUAUUGGCCAGAGACCGAUAGCGCACAAGUAGAGUGAUCGAAAGAUGAAAAGCACUUUGAAAAGAGGGUUAAAUAGCACGUGAAAUUGUUGAAAGGGAAGGAUUUAUGACCAGACUUUUUCUAGGGGGAUCAUCCGGUGUUCUCACCGGUGCACUUCCCCUAGUUGAGGCCAGCAUCGGUUUCUGUCGGGGGAUAAAAGCUUUAGGAAUGUGGCUCCCUCCGGGGAGUGUUAUAGCCUGUUGCAUAAUACCCUGACGGGGACCGAGGUUCGCGCAUUGCAAGGAUGCUGGCGUAAUGGUUAUUAAUCACCCGUCUUGAAACACGGACCAAGGAGUCGAACAUUUGUGCGAGUGUUUGGGUGUUAAACCCUCACGCGUAAUGAAAGUGAACGGAGGUGAGAGCCUUUCGGGGUGCAUCAUCGACCGAUCCUGAUGUCUUCGGAUGGAUUUGAGUAAGAGCAUUAAUGUUCGGACCCGAAAGAUGGUGAACUAUGCGUGGAUAGGGUGAAGCCAGAGGAAACUCUGGUGGAGGCUCGCAGCGGUUCUGACGUGCAAAUCGAUCGUCAAAUCU